GCGUGGGUGAAGAAGGUCUUCGGAUUGUAAAGCCCUUUCGGCGGGGAAGAUGAUGACGGUACCCGCAGAAGAAGCCCCGGCUAACUUCGUGCCAGCAGCCGCGGUAAUACGAAGGGGGCUAGCGUUGCUCGGAAUUACUGGGCGUAAAGGGCGCGUAGGCGGUCCUGUAAGUCAGGCGUGAAAUUCCUGGGCUCAACCUGGGGGCUGCGCUUGAGACUGUGGGACUUGAGGUCAGAAGAGGCUCGUGGAAUUCCCAGUGUAGAGGUGAAAUUCGU
Molecule: ribosomal RNA, 275 nt
Filed under: uncultured bacterium
Lineage: Bacteria
Description: partial 16S ribosomal RNA
Rfam family: Bacterial small subunit ribosomal RNA
Source: RNAcentral